Molecule: ribosomal RNA, 492 nt
Filed under: uncultured bacterium
Lineage: Bacteria
Description: partial 16S ribosomal RNA
Rfam family: Bacterial small subunit ribosomal RNA
Source: RNAcentral
AGUGAACGCUGGCGGUGGGCCUAACACAUGCAAGUCGAACGGCAGCACAGUAAGAGCUUGCUCUUACGGGUGGCGAGUGGCGGACGGGUGAGGAAUACAUCGCAAUCUACUUUUUCGUGGGUGAUAACGUAGGGAAACUUACGCUAAUACCGCAUACGACCUCCGGGUGAAAGCAGGGGAUCUUCGGACCUUGCGCGAUUGAAUGAGCCGAUGUCGGAUUAGCUAGUUGGCGGGGUAAAGGCCCACCAAGGCGACGAUCCGUAGCUGGUCUGAGAGGAUGAUCAGCCACACUGGAACUGAGACACGGUCCAGACUCCUACGGGAGGCAGCAGUGGGGAAUAUUGGACAAUGGGCGCAAGCCUGAUCCAGCCAUACCGCGUGGGUGAAGAAGGCCUUCGGGUUGUAAAGCCCUUUUGUUGGGAAAGAAAAGCAGCAGGUUAAUACCCCGCUGUUCUGACGGUACCCAAAGAAUAAGCACCGGCUAACUUCGUG